RNAcentral lists this ribosomal RNA (440 nucleotides) under uncultured bacterium. RNAcentral's name for it is "partial 16S ribosomal RNA". It matches the Rfam family "Bacterial small subunit ribosomal RNA", at positions 338 to 795 of the family's 1533-position model. The record is from RNAcentral.
GCUACGGGUGGCAGCAGUGGGGAAUAUUGCACAAUGGGGGAAACCCUGAUGCAGCGACGCCGCGUGAGCGAUGAAGUAUUUCGGUAUGUAAAGCUCUAUCAGCAGGGAAGAAAAUGACGGUACCUGACUAAGAAGCCCCGGAUAACUACGUGCCAGCAGCCGCGGUAAUACGUAGGGGGCCAGCGUUAUCCGGAUUUACUGGGUGUAAAGGGAGCGUAGACGGCUGUGAAAGCCAGAUGUGAAAUCCCGGGGCUCAACCCCGGGACUGCAAUUGGAACUGUGUGGCUGGAGUGUCGGAGAGGCAGGCGGAAUUCCUGGUGUAGCGGUGAAAUGCUUAGAUAUUAGGAGGAACACCAGUGGCGAAGGCAGCCUGCUGGACUAUGACUGACGUUGAGGCUCGAAAGCGUGGGGAGCAAACAGGAUUAGAUACCCCUGUAGUC